GGUUGCGAUCAUACCAGCACUAAUGCACCGGAUCCCAUCAGGACUCCGCAGUUAAGCGUGCUUGGGCGAGAGUAGUACUAGGAUGGGUGACCCCCUGGGAAGUCCUCGUGUUGCAACCCC
RNAcentral lists this ribosomal RNA (120 nucleotides) under Helianthus annuus (common sunflower). The record is from RNAcentral. Lineage: Eukaryota; Viridiplantae; Streptophyta; Magnoliopsida; Asterales; Asteraceae.